This 243-nucleotide ribosomal RNA is filed under the name Triticum aestivum (bread wheat). Its description in RNAcentral is "partial small subunit ribosomal RNA". Lineage: Eukaryota; Viridiplantae; Streptophyta; Magnoliopsida; Poales; Poaceae. The record is from RNAcentral.
AUGUUCAAGGCAAACGAGGAGGGGGCCAUAAUUAUCAGAAAUGUUGUCCGCACUUAUUGUGGUGCUUCUGGUCAGAGGGUUAACCUUGCAAAAUCAAGUAUCUUUUUUGGGAAGGGUUGCCCUAAUAGUAUGAGAACUGUGAUAAAAAAUCUUCUGGAUGUCACAAAUGAAUCGCUGGCUGAACGGUACCUAGGGUUGCCGUCUGAUGUUGGGAAGUCAAAAAAAGGUGUUUUAAAUAUUUAA